UUGAUCCUGGCUCAGGAUUACGCUGGCGGUGUGCCUAAUACAUGCAAGUCGAGCGCUCACUUCGGUGAGAGCGGCAGACGGGUGAGUAACACGUUGGUAGCUGCCCCAUAGUCAGGAAUAAGCCACAGAAAUGUGGUCUAAUACCGGAUAGUCCCGAAAGGGUAAAGCUUUAUGCGCUAUGGGAGGUGCCUGCGUCCUAUCAGCUUGUUGGUGAGGUAAUAGCUCACCAAGGCUAUGACGGGUAGCUGGUUUGAGAGAACGACCAGCCACAAUGGAACUGAGACACGGUCCAUACUCCUACGGGAGGCAGCAGUAAGGAAUUUUGCGCAAUGGGGGAAACCCUGACGCAGCAACACCGCGUGAAGGAUGAAGGCCUUUUGGUUGUAAACUUCUUUUCUGAGGGAGUAAAUAUGAAAGUACCUCAGGAAUAAGCACCGGCUAACUCCGUGCCAGCAGCCGCGGUAAGACGGAGGGUGCAAGCGUUAUCCGGAAUUAUUGGGCGUAAAGAGUCCGUAGGUGUUUUAUUAAGUAUGAUGUCAAAGACUGGGGCUUAACUCCAGGCCGGUAUCAUAAACUGGUAAAAUAGAGUCGUGUAGAGGCAUGUGGAAUGCUGCAAGUAGGGGUAAUAUCCGUUGAUAUGCAGUGGAACACCAAAAGCGAAGGCAGCAUGCUGGGCACGUACUGACGCUCAAGGACGAAAGCGUGGGUAGCGAACAGGAUUAGAUACCCUGGUAGUCCACGCCGUAAACGAUGAUAACUCGCUGUUGGAGGUUCGACCCCUUCAGUGGCUAAGCAAACGCGAUAAGUUAUCCGCCUGGGUAGUACGGUCGCAAGAUUAAAACUCAAAGGAAUAGACGGGGACCCACACAAGCGGUGGAGCAUCUUGUUUAAUUCGACAAUAAGCGGAAAACCUCACCAGGACUUGACAUCCCGAGAAAGUUGCAGAAAUGUGACUGUGCCUUUAGGAACUCGGUGACAGGUGCUGCAUGGUUGUCGUCAGCUCGUGCCUUGAGGUGUUCGGUUAAGUCCGUAAACGAGCGCAACCCAUGUCCAUAGUUGUAUGUUUCUAUGGAGACUGCCGGCUCUAAGUCGGAGGAAGGUAUGGAUGACGUCAAAUCAGCAUGGCCCUUAUGUCCUGGGCUACAAAGGUGCUACAAUGGCCGAUACAACGGGCAGCGAAGGAGUAAUCCGGAGCCAAUCCUUAAAGUCGGUCUAAGUUCGAAUUGAGGGCUGAAAUUCGCCCUCAUGAAGUUGGAAUCGCUAGUAACCGUGAAUCAGCAUGUUACGGUGAAUACGUUCCUGGGUCUUGUACUCACCGCCCGUCAAGUCAUGAAAGAUGGGGGCGCCCAAAGUCCCUUUA
RNAcentral lists this ribosomal RNA (1360 nucleotides) under uncultured organism. RNAcentral describes it as "partial 16S ribosomal RNA". It matches the Rfam family "Bacterial small subunit ribosomal RNA". The record is from RNAcentral.